Salvia miltiorrhiza (redroot sage) is the source of this 961-nucleotide long non-coding RNA. RefSeq lists it as uncharacterized. The record is from RefSeq and is a predicted model, not a curated record. NCBI's taxonomy places the organism in Eukaryota, Viridiplantae, Streptophyta, Magnoliopsida, Lamiales, Lamiaceae. The transcript has 2 exons.
AGUUUCCACACAUUUCCUUGUACUCCAAUUUACUCUCAAAGUUUUGAUGGAAAUUUCUAUUGCAUAUAUGAUUACUAGCUAUUUUCAGCCUUGAAUUAUCAGGACAUUCUAGGAUUCUAUUUUUUGCAUUUUCACUUGUGGAUUUUAUGUAAUCCAAUUACUUGUAUAUGUUUCCUUGAGCAGAUGUUGGGUUUGGAGAUGAUAUGUAUGAAGGAUUGACAAAAAUGGUUAAUGAAAUGCAGACAAUCAGCUCUAAGAAUACUAUGCUCAUAGUUUCUUGACAGUAUUAACAUUAGUAUUUAAGGAUGAGUUCUAGCGGAGAAAGGCCUAAAUGGAGUGUGUUUGAAGAUAUAAAGAAUAUAUCUGCAGCUCCCGAGGCACUUAUGGCCGAUAUCAAUGCUGCUAUCAGCGCCCUCGAGCAUGCUCGUGCUGCGGCUGCUACCUUCUUACACUCGUCUCCUUCCUCUUCAAAAACAAAAACGCUGAUAAAAAGUUGAUUCAUGUGAUGCUGAAAAGGCCGGUGAAGCUACAAUACUGGAUUGAGCUUUGAACGUCUCGUUUAAGUGUGGAUAACUUCGGAUAAAAAGUUAUGGCUUUGAACGUCUCGUUUAAGUGCGGAUAAAAAGUUAUCCACACUCAUCUCUUUAAGUGUGGAUAACUUUGAACGUCUCGUUUCUCUUACAUCGAUGACUCAGGAAGCCCGAGUGUCGCACCUGAAGGUUGGGGAUGGACUCGAAAUUGGAUCGUGGCAGCUGGUAUGUUUUCCUAUCAGUCAGAAAAUGACUUGGUUUAUCAAGAUGUGAAAGAUAUGCAGAAAUAUGUUGGAGUUGAUAAUGUUAUAGGCUAGUUUCUAUAUAAUAUGAAUAUGAUGCAUAUUAUUCAAGAAACCGAAAACAGAGUAGACAAACAUUUGUGAGGAGUGUUUUGCAUUCAAAAGGUGAUUGCUUUUAUUAAAAGAAAA